GCCCUCNGCGUACUGCUCAGUAACACGUGGAUAACCUGCCCUAAGGAAGGGGAUACCCCCGGGAAACUGGGGAUAAUACCCUAUAGGUUACAGAUGCUGGAAUGCUCUGUAACCGAAAGUUCCGGCGCCUUAGGAUGGAUCUGCGGCCGAUUAGGUUGUUGUCGGGGUAACGGCCCAACAAGCCAGUAAUCGGUACGGGUUGUGGGAGCAAGAGCCCGGAGUUGGAUUCUGAGACACGAAUCCAGGCCCUACGGGGCGCAGCAGGCGCGAAAACUUUACAAUGCGGGCAACCGUGAUAAGGGAACCUCGAGUGCCUGUAUAUGCAGGCUGUCUGGGUGUCUAAAACACACCUAAAGAAAGGGCCGGGCAAGACCGGUGCCAGCCGCCGCGGUAAUACCGGCGGCUCGAGUGGUGGCCACUUUUAUUGGGCUUAAAGCGUUCGUAGCUGGGUUAUUAAGUCCCUUGGGAAAUCCGACGGCUUAACCGUCNGGCGUCUAAGGGAUACUGGCAAUCUUGGAACCGGGAGAGGUGAGGGGUACUUCGGGGGUAGGAGUGAAAUCCUGUAAUCCUCGAGGGACCACCUGUGGCGAAGGCGCCUCACCAGAACGGCUUCGACAGUGAGGGACGAAAGCUGGGGGAGCAAACCGGAUUAGAUACCCGGGUAGUCCCAGCCGUAAACGAUGUGCGUUAGGUGUAUCGGUGACCACGAGUCACCGAGGUGCCGAAGGGAAACCGUGAAACGUACCGCGNUGGGAAGUACGGUCGCUAAGG
RNAcentral lists this ribosomal RNA (771 nucleotides) under uncultured Methanoculleus sp. RNAcentral describes it as "bacterial SSU rRNA". It matches the Rfam family "Archaeal small subunit ribosomal RNA", at positions 74 to 848 of the family's 1478-position model. The record is from RNAcentral. Lineage: Archaea; Methanobacteriati; Methanobacteriota; Methanomicrobia; Methanomicrobiales; Methanomicrobiaceae.